Heterocephalus glaber (naked mole-rat) is the source of this 236-nucleotide non-coding RNA. Lineage: Eukaryota; Metazoa; Chordata; Mammalia; Rodentia; Bathyergidae. The record is from Rfam.
UAAUGUCACAAUCUGACUACUAUAUUUUUCACCCCAUUGAUUGCCAGGGACAAUUGGGCUGAUCUGGCUGGCUUUGUGGCUGUCCUUUUUUAACCCUUGCCACUCUGUAUUUCAUUGUCGUUCAAAGAGGACAAUCUUCUUUCAUCAAAGGUACAGGAGAGUAGCUGCUUCCCCCCCACCUCCAAACAAGCACUCAAAAUGAUAGAUACCUGCAGUUCAAUAGUGAGAGUGAAAAU